ACGAACGCUGGCGGCGUGCUUAACACAUGCAAGUCUAACGGAAAGGCCCUGCUUUUGUGGGGUGCUCGAGUGGCGAACGGGUGAGUAACACGUGAGUAACCUGCCCUUGACUUUGGGAUAACUUCAGGAAACUGGGGCUAAUACCGGAUAGGAGCUCCUGCUGCAUGGUGGGGGUUGGAAAGUUUCGGCGGUUGGGGAUGGACUCGCGGCUUAUCAGCUUGUUGGUGGGGUAGUGGCUUACCAAGGCUUUGACGGGUAGCCGGCCUGAGAGGGUGACCGGCCACAUUGGGACUGAGAUACGGCCCAGACUCCUACGGGAGGCAGCAGUGGGGAAUAUUGCACAAUGGGCGGAAGCCUGAUGCAGCAACGCCGCGUGCGGGAUGACGGCCUUCGGGUUGUAAACCGCUUUCGCCUGUGACGAAGCGUGAGUGACGGUAAUGGGUAAAGAAGCACCGGCUAACUACGUG
This 467-nucleotide ribosomal RNA is filed under the name uncultured bacterium. RNAcentral describes it as "partial 16S ribosomal RNA". It matches the Rfam family "Bacterial small subunit ribosomal RNA", at positions 29 to 507 of the family's 1533-position model. The record is from RNAcentral.